UUCGAACGCACAUUGCGGCCCUAG
RNAcentral lists this ribosomal RNA (24 nucleotides) under Frankliniella occidentalis (western flower thrips). Its description in RNAcentral is "partial 5.8S ribosomal RNA". The record is from RNAcentral. Lineage: Eukaryota; Metazoa; Arthropoda; Insecta; Thysanoptera; Thripidae.